Molecule: ribosomal RNA, 448 nt
Filed under: uncultured bacterium
Lineage: Bacteria
Description: bacterial SSU rRNA
Rfam family: Bacterial small subunit ribosomal RNA
Source: RNAcentral
UCCAGACUCCUACGGGAGGCAGCAGUGGGGAAUAUUGCACAAUGGGGGAAACCCUGAUGCAGCGACGCCGCGUGAGCGAAGAAGUAUUUCGGUAUGUAAAGCUCUAUCAGCAGGGAAGAAAAAUGACGGUACCUGAGUAAGAAGCACCGGCUAAAUACGUGCCAGCAGCCGCGGUAAUACGUAUGGUGCAAGCGUUAUCCGGAUUUACUGGGUGUAAAGGGAGCGCAGGCGGUGCGGCAAGUCUGAUGUGAAAGCCCGGGGCUCAACCCCGGGACUGCAUUGGAAACUACCGAACUAGAGUGUCGGAGAGGUAAGUGGAAUUCCUAGUGUAGCGGUGAAAUGCGUAGAUAUUAGGAGGAACACCAGUGGCGAAGGCGGCUUACUGGACGAUAACUGACGCUGAGGCUCGAAAGCGUGGGGAGCAAACAGGAUUAGAUACCCCAGUAAG